Molecule: ribosomal RNA, 500 nt
Filed under: uncultured Anaerolineaceae bacterium
Lineage: Bacteria; Bacillati; Chloroflexota; Anaerolineae; Anaerolineales; Anaerolineaceae
Description: bacterial SSU rRNA
Rfam family: Bacterial small subunit ribosomal RNA
Source: RNAcentral
CUAUGCGCCUUCGCCACGCCCGCUCAAGAAACUUAAAGGAAUGACGGGCCCCGCACAAGCAGCGGAGCGUGUGGUUUAAUUCGAUGCUACACGAAGAACCUUACCAGGGUUUGACAUACAAGUAGUAGGGAAAGGAAACUGGACCGACCCUUCGGGGAGCUUGAACAGGUGCUGCAUGGCUGUCGUCAGCUCGUGUCGUGAGAUGUUCGGUUAAGUCCGCUAACGAGCGCAACCCUCGCUGUGUGUUACAAGUGUCACACGGAACUGCCGGUCAUAAACCGGAGGAAGGUGGGGAUGACGUCAAGUCAGCAUGGCCUUUAUAUCCUGGGCUACACACACGCUACAAUGGGAAGGGACAAUAGGUUGCGAAACCGCGAGGUGGAGCCAAUCCAGCAAAACUUCCCUCAGUUCAGAUUGCAGGCUGCAACUCGCCUGCAUGAAGUUGGAGUUGCUAGUAAACGCAGGUCAGCCAUACUGCGUUGAAUACGUUCCCGGGGCUU